GGCUCCCUGUAAAAUUAAGAUAGGGAGUCGGACCUGCCCAGUGAGGAUUUCAACGGCCGCGGUAUUCUGACCGUGCAAAGGUAGCAUAAUCAUUUGCCUUAUAAUUGAAGGCUGGAAUGAAUGGUUUAACAAGAAUAUAACUGUCUCUUUAUGAUUUUAUAGAAUUUUAUAUCUAGGUGAAGAAGCCUAGUUACAAUUAAAAGACAAGAAGACCCUAUCGAGCUUAAAAAAAAUCGGUAGGCCACACAGUAAUAUAACUAAAAACUCUUCUACUGAAAAUUUUAGUUGGGGCAACUGAGGAACAAAGCUUCCUUGAAAAUUUAAAUUUACACAGAAAAUGAUCCAAAAUUUUUGAUUAAGGAAAUUAGUUACCGUAGGGAUAACAGCAUAAUCCUUUUUUAGAGUUCUAAUCGAAAAAGGGGUUUGUGACCUCGAUGUUGGAUCAGAAUAUCCUAAAGAUGCAGUAGUCUUUAAGGGUUGGUCUGUUCGACCAUUAAAAUUCUACG
RNAcentral lists this ribosomal RNA (506 nucleotides) under Fasciolaria sp. MNHN IM 2013-55965. Its description in RNAcentral is "partial 16S ribosomal RNA". It matches the Rfam family "Bacterial large subunit ribosomal RNA", at positions 1817 to 2600 of the family's 2925-position model. The record is from RNAcentral. Lineage: Eukaryota; Metazoa; Mollusca; Gastropoda; Neogastropoda; Fasciolariidae.